GAUGAAGAACGUAGCGAAAUGCGAUACGUAAUGUGAAUUGCAGAAUUCAGUGAAACAUCGAAUCUUUGAACGCAUAUUGCGCUCUUUGGUAUUCCGAAGAGCAUGCUUGUUUGAGUAUCAGUAAACACCUCAACCUCUUCUUGAUUUUUCAAAAGGAGGGUGGACUUGAGCUAUCCCAACAACCUUUACCGGUCGGCGGGCGGCUUGAAAUGCAGGUGCAGCUGGACUUUUAUCUGAGCUAAAAGCAUAUCUAUUUAGUCCUCGUCAAACAGGAUUAUUACUUUUGCUGCAGCUAACAUAAAGGAUAAUUGUCCUCUUUGCUGACUGAUGCAGGAUUUUACGACACUUUAUGUGUUGUUCAACUCGAUCUCAAAUCAAGUAAGACUACCCGCUGAACUUAAGCAUAUCAAUAAGCGGAGGA
RNAcentral lists this unclassified non-coding RNA (421 nucleotides) under soil metagenome. RNAcentral describes it as "partial contains 5.8S ribosomal RNA, internal transcribed spacer 2, and large subunit ribosomal RNA". The stretch from base 1 to 120 matches the Rfam family "5.8S ribosomal RNA", at positions 35 to 154 of the family's 154-position model. The record is from RNAcentral.